GUUGAUAGUUCGUCGUAUAUUAUCAAUCGUAUGAAUUUAAUACAGUUUUAGAAGUUGAAGACAUGGGUUUUAUGUUUGGGAAGAGUUCUGCUAAACCCAGUUUGAAGUUGCACUUGUUGUGGCUUGGAAUGCAGCCGUUGUAUCAACACGUGAAAAUCUGUGAUUUGGCGUUGUAAACAGAGCGAGGACAAUGUCUAAAUUAUUCAUUUAUUGUAAUUACUCAAUUCUUUUCAAUAAUCUAUUGUAUUGGUAGCCGUUGCCGUCGCGUUGCCGUCCUAAAAUCGUAA
Molecule: non-coding RNA, 287 nt
Organism: Paramuricea clavata
Lineage: Eukaryota; Metazoa; Cnidaria; Anthozoa; Malacalcyonacea; Plexauridae
Source: the annotation of a GenBank genome assembly